This 902-nucleotide ribosomal RNA is filed under the name Colletotrichum gigasporum. RNAcentral describes it as "LSU rRNA". It matches the Rfam family "Eukaryotic large subunit ribosomal RNA", at positions 38 to 966 of the family's 3401-position model. The record is from RNAcentral. Lineage: Eukaryota; Fungi; Ascomycota; Sordariomycetes; Glomerellales; Glomerellaceae.
GCAUAUCAAUAAGCGGAGGAAAAGAAACCAACAGGGAUUGCCUCAGUAACGGCGAGUGAAGCGGCAACAGCUCAAAUUUGAAAUCUGGUCCCUUGCGGCCCGAGUUGUAAUUUGCAGAGGAUGCUUUUGGGCGCGGUGCCUUCCAAGUUCCCUGGAACGGGACGCCUUAGAGGGUGAGAGCCCCGUACGGUUGGACACCAAGCCUUUGUAAAGCUCCUUCGACGAGUCGAGUAGUUUGGGAAUGCUGCUCUAAAUGGGAGGUAUAUUUCUUCUAAAGCUAAAUACCGGCCAGAGACCGAUAGCGCACAAGUAGAGUGAUCGAAAGAUGAAAAGCACUUUGAAAAGAGGGUUAAACAGCACGUGAAAUUGUUAAAAGGGAAGCGCUUGUGACCAGACUUGCGCCCGGUGAAUCACCCAGCUCUCGCGGCUGGGGCACUUUGCCGGCUCAGGCCAGCAUCAGCUUGCCGUCGGGGACAAAAGCUUCGGGAACGUAGCUCUCUUCGGGGAGUGUUAUAGCCCGUUGCACAAUACCCUUCGGCGGGCUGAGGUACGCGCUCCGCAAGGAUGCUGGCAUAAUGGUCAUCAGCGACCCGUCUUGAAACACGGACCAAGGAGUCAACCUUAUGUGCGAGUGUUCGGGUGUCAAACCCCUACGCGUAAUGAAAGUGAACGCAGGUGAGAGCUUCGGCGCAUCAUCGACCGAUCCUGAUGUUCUCGGAUGGAUUUGAGUAAGAGCAUAUAGGGUUGGACCCGAAAGAAGGUGAACUAUGCGUGUAUAGGGUGAAGCCAGAGGAAACUCUGGUGGAGGCUCGCAGCGGUUCUGACGUGCAAAUCGAUCGUCAAAUAUGCGCAAUGGGGGCGAAAGACUAAUCGAACCUUCUAGUAGCUGGCAUCCGCCGAAG